UACGGAAGGCAGCAGUGGGGAAUAUUGCACAAUGGGCGAAAGCCUGAUGCAGCUAUGCCGCGUGUAUGAAGAAGGCCUUAGGGUUGUAAAGUACUUUCAUCGGGGAGGAAAAAACAAAACUAAUAAUUUUAUUUCUUGACGUUACCCGAAAAAGAAGCACCGGCUAACUCCGUGCCAGCAGCCGCGGUAAUACGGAGGGUGCUAGCGUUAAUCAGAAUUACUGGGCGUAAAGAGCACGUAGGUGGUUUUUUUAAGUCAGAUGUGAAAUCCCUGGGCUUAACCUGGAACUGCAUUUUGAAACUGAAAUACUAGAGUAUCGUAGAGGGAGGUAGAAUUCUAGGUGUAGCGGUGAAAUGCGUAGAUAUCUGGAGGAAUACCUGUGGCGAAAGCGGCCUCCUAAACGAAUACUGACACUGAGGUGCGAAAGCGUGGGGAGCAAACGAGGGAUUAGGAUA
Molecule: ribosomal RNA, 455 nt
Filed under: uncultured bacterium
Lineage: Bacteria
Description: bacterial SSU rRNA
Rfam family: Bacterial small subunit ribosomal RNA
Source: RNAcentral